UCUGGCUUAUAGCCAAGCGGUCCUAUUAGAGUGCCCAACUUAAUGCUGGUAACUAAUAGCGAGGGUUGCGCUCGUUGCGGGACUUAACCCAACAUCUCACAACACGAGCUGACGACAGCCAUGCAGCACCUGUCACCGCGUCCCCGAAGGGAACCCCUGCUUUCACAGGGUAGCGCGGGAUGUCAAGCCCAGGUAAGGUUUUUCGCGUAGCAUCGAAUUAAACCACAUGUUCCACCGCUUGUGCGGGCCCCCGUCAAUUCCUUUGAGUUUUAAUCUUGCGACCGUACUUCCCAGGCGGGAUACUUAACGCGUUAGCUGCGUCACCGAGACAAUUAGGUGUCCCGACGACUAGUAUCCAUCGUUUAGGGCGUGGACUAC
RNAcentral lists this unclassified non-coding RNA (378 nucleotides) under uncultured delta proteobacterium. Its description in RNAcentral is "contains 16S-23S intergenic spacer region". Lineage: Bacteria; Deltaproteobacteria. The record is from RNAcentral.